GUGGCUAUAGUUUAAUGGUAAAACAGUGGGUUGUGGUCCCACGGUCGAGAGUUCGAUUCUCUCUAGCCACCCCA
Molecule: transfer RNA, 74 nt
Filed under: bacterium
Lineage: Bacteria
Description: tRNA-His
Rfam family: tRNA
About the family: Transfer RNA (tRNA) molecules are approximately 80 nucleotides in length.
Source: RNAcentral